Molecule: ribosomal RNA, 308 nt
Filed under: uncultured bacterium
Lineage: Bacteria
Description: partial 16S ribosomal RNA
Rfam family: Bacterial small subunit ribosomal RNA
Source: RNAcentral
AGGGAAUCUUCGGCAAUGGGGGCAACCCUGACCGAGCAACGCCGCGUGAGUGAAGAAGGUUUUCGGAUCGUAAAGCUCUGUUGUAAGUCAAGAACGGGUGUGAGAGUGGAAAGUUCACACUGUGACGGUAGCUUAACCAGAAAGGGACGGCUAACUACGUGCCAGCAGCCGCGGUAAUACGUAGGUCCCGAGCGUUGUCCGGAUUUAUUGGGCGUAAAGCGAGCGCAGGCGGUUUGAUAAGUCUGAAGUUAAAGGCUGUGGCUCAACCAUAGUUCGCUUUGGAAACUGUCAAACUUGAGUGCAGAAGG